RNAcentral lists this ribosomal RNA (696 nucleotides) under uncultured bacterium. Its description in RNAcentral is "bacterial SSU rRNA". It matches the Rfam family "Bacterial small subunit ribosomal RNA", at positions 32 to 715 of the family's 1533-position model. The record is from RNAcentral.
AACGCUAGCUACAGGCUUAACACAUGCAAGUCGAGGGGAAACGAUAUUGGAAGCUUGCUUCCGAUAGGCGUCGACCGGCGCACGGGUGAGUAACGCGUAUCCAACCUGCCCACCACUUGGGGAUAACCUUGCGAAAGUAAGACUAAUACCCAAUGACGUCUCUAGAAGACAUCUGAAAGAGAUUAAAGAUUUAUCGGUGAUGGAUGGGGAUGCGUCUGAUUAGCUUGUUGGCGGGGUAACGGCCCACCAAGGCAACGAUCAGUAGGGGUUCUGAGAGGAAGGUCCCCCACAUUGGAACUGAGACACGGUCCAAACUCCUACGGGAGGCAGCAGUGAGGAAUAUUGGUCAAUGGACGAGAGUCUGAACCAGCCAAGUAGCGUGCAGGAAGACGGCCCUAUGGGUUGUAAACUGCUUUUAUAAGGGAAUAAAGUGAGUCUCGUGAGACUUUUUGCAUGUACCUUAUGAAUAAGGACCGGCUAAUUCCGUGCCAGCAGCCGCGGUAAUACGGAAGGUCCGGGCGUUAUCCGGAUUUAUUGGGUUUAAAGGGAGCGUAGGCCGGAGAUUAAGCGUGUUGUGAAAUGUAGAUGCUCAACAUCUGAACUGCAGCGCGAACUGGUUUCCUUGAGUACGCACAAAGUGGGCGGAAUUCGUGGUGUAGCGGUGAAAUGCUUAGAUAUCACGAAGAACUCCGAUUG